Molecule: long non-coding RNA, 421 nt
Filed under: Trifolium pratense (red clover)
Lineage: Eukaryota; Viridiplantae; Streptophyta; Magnoliopsida; Fabales; Fabaceae
Description: long non-coding RNA (TPRA_LNC010691)
Source: RNAcentral
UGAUACGACACAAGUAAUUAACACUACAGCCCAAGAGAUGGGAAGGCCCAAUGAAGAGAGUGACACUAACAGGGAAGGCCCAAUAGAGGAGGGUCCAAUACUUGGCAAGAGGGUAUCUAAGAAACCACCCUGGAUGCAGGAUUUUGUAUGUUAUACAAAGAAGAAUCCAAAAGAAUAGAAAUAGUCACAAGCUGGUCAUGUUUUUCUUUUUGCAGUUUGUUAUUUCCCUUCCUUUAUUUUCGCAAGUUGUUGCUAAGUCACUAUAUAUAUGGUGUAAUUGGUAUCCAUUUGGAUUAUGCUGAAUGAAAUAGAAGAUUCUAUUCUCCCUUUUAACUUCUUCUUCCUUAAUUUCUUUCUUGGAGUACACACUCACUCGAAGAGUGCUAUUCUUAUACAAUCUGAGAAUUAGAGAUUGUAUCAU